CGCGGCUCGGGCGGCUCGUUGCGCCAGUUGAUGCUGACGUCUUCAAGGCUGGUGGUGGGUGCCAGCUCUUCGGUCACGA
RNAcentral lists this transfer RNA (79 nucleotides) under Pseudomonas fluorescens. RNAcentral's name for it is "tRNA-Val". Lineage: Bacteria; Pseudomonadati; Pseudomonadota; Gammaproteobacteria; Pseudomonadales; Pseudomonadaceae. The record is from RNAcentral.